CCUACGGGGGGCAGCAGUGGGGAAUAUUGGACAAUGGGCGAAAGCCUGAUCCAGCCAUGCCGCGUGUGUGAAGAAGGCCUUCGGGUUGUAAAGCACUUUCAGUGGGGAAGAAAGCCUUGGGGCUAAUACCCUCGAGGAAGGACCUCACCCACAGAAGACGCACCGGCUAACUCCGUGCCAGCAGCCGCGGUAAUACGGAGGGUGCGAGCGUUAAUCGGAAUUACUGGGCGUAAAGCGCGCGUAGGCGGUCUGAUAAGCCGGUUGUGAAAGCCCCGGGCUCAACCUGGGAACGGCAUCCGGAACGGUCAGGCUAGAGUGCAGGAGAGGAAGGUAGAAUUCCCGGUGUAGCGGUGAAAUGCGUAGAGAUCGGGAGGAAUACCAGUGGCGAAGGCGGCCUUCUGGACUGACACUGACGCUGAGGUGCGAAAGCGUGGGUAGCAAACAGGAUUAGAUACCCGGGUAGUC
RNAcentral lists this ribosomal RNA (465 nucleotides) under Vreelandella stevensii. RNAcentral describes it as "partial 16S ribosomal RNA". It matches the Rfam family "Bacterial small subunit ribosomal RNA", at positions 338 to 795 of the family's 1533-position model. Lineage: Bacteria; Pseudomonadati; Pseudomonadota; Gammaproteobacteria; Oceanospirillales; Halomonadaceae. The record is from RNAcentral.